RNAcentral lists this ribosomal RNA (489 nucleotides) under Triticum aestivum (bread wheat). Its description in RNAcentral is "partial small subunit ribosomal RNA". Lineage: Eukaryota; Viridiplantae; Streptophyta; Magnoliopsida; Poales; Poaceae. The record is from RNAcentral.
AUGCCAAGUGACAAGGCUCUGGGGCCGGAUGGUUUCACGGGCCUCUUCUUCAAGAAGUGUUGGGACAUUAUCAAGCACGACCUCAUGAGGGUUAUCACGCGCUUUGACUCCCUACACACUGCAAACCUCCAGUGGCUAAACUCUGCAAACGUGGUGCUCCUGCCUAAGAAGGAAGGGGCGGAGGGCAUCGCCGAUUAUAGGCCCAUCAGUCUCAUCCACGCAAUCGCGAAAAUUAUCGCGAAGGUGCUCUCCAUGAGGCUCGGCCCACACAUGACAAACCUCGUCUCCAACGCCCAAAGUGCCUUCAUCAAAACAAGAAGUAUCCAUGACAACUUUUUGUAUGUUCGCAAUCUCGCUCGGCGCCUCCACAAGAAGAAGACACCUUCCCUCCUUUUCAAGCUUGAUAUUCGCAAGGCCUUCGACUCUGUUAAGUGGGAGUAUUUGCUUGAUCUUCUCCAACGGCGAGGCUUCCCAAGUAAAUUCCGGGAC